Molecule: ribosomal RNA, 432 nt
Filed under: uncultured bacterium
Lineage: Bacteria
Description: partial 16S ribosomal RNA
Rfam family: Bacterial small subunit ribosomal RNA
Source: RNAcentral
AACGAACGCUGGCGGCAUGCCUAACACAUGCAAGUCGAACGAGACCUUCGGGUCUAGUGGCGCACGGGUGCGUAACGCGUGGGAACCUGCCCUUAGGUUCGGAAUAACUCCCCGAAAGGGGUGCUAAUACCGGAUAAUGUCUUCGGACCAAAGAUUUAUCGCCUUUGGAUGGGCCCGCGUUGGAUUAGCUAGUUGGUAGGGUAAAAGCCUACCAAGGCGACGAUCCAUAGCUGGUCUGAGAGGAUGGUCAGCCACACUGGGACUGAGACACGGCCCAGACUCCUGCGGGAGGCAGCAGUGGGGAAUAUUGGACAAUGGGCGAAAGCCUGAUCCAGCAAUGCCGCGUGAGUGAUGAAGGCCUUAGGGUUGUAAAGCUCUAUUACCCGGGAUGAUAAUGACAGUACCGGGAGAAUAAGCUCCGGCUAACUCCGU